Molecule: unclassified non-coding RNA, 232 nt
Filed under: uncultured Clitopilus
Lineage: Eukaryota; Fungi; Basidiomycota; Agaricomycetes; Agaricales; Entolomataceae
Description: sequence contains ITS1
Source: RNAcentral
AUGAAUAAACUUGGUCAAGCUGUUGCUGGUCUUUCGGGACAUGUGCACGCUUGCCACCAAUUUUAACCACCUGUGCACCUUUUGUAGACUGGAAAUGUUUCUCGAGGCAACUCGGAUUGAGAACUGCUGUGCGCAAGCCAGCUAUUCUUGUGUUUCUCAGUCUAUGUUUUCAUAUACUCCUAAUGUAUGUAUCUGAAUGUAUUGCUAGGCCUUAGUGCCUUUAAAACAAAUA